This 455-nucleotide long non-coding RNA is filed under the name Erythranthe guttata (spotted monkey flower). Its description in RNAcentral is "long non-coding RNA (EGUT_LNC002058)". The record is from RNAcentral. Lineage: Eukaryota; Viridiplantae; Streptophyta; Magnoliopsida; Lamiales; Phrymaceae.
UUGUUUUGUGUCAUGGCUAGCUUGCAUCUAAAUGUGUUAAGAAGAUAAUAGAGGUAUCUUCUUAACACUUCAAUUUAUUUAUAUUUUGUUUGUUGUUUUUGGGAACUCAGUGCAUAUUUUUGUUUAUGCAUUCUCUUUCCUAUUUGGUAAACGGAUUUGUAUAAGUUUGAAAGGAAAGUGAGAGCAAAAACAAAAUUUCUUCUUCAACUUUUAGAAAUAAUAUUCAUCUUUGCGAAGUCAUUCAUCUUGAUUUUUUUUUUGUGAUCUAAUGUGUAUUUAUUAUGUAAAUUUGUGUUGGAUCAGGCUAAAUUUAAGACAAAGAAGUAUUGUUUAGAUGACGAAGUCUGAAACACAAGUUGAAUGAGAAGGAAAUGAAGUUGCAAGAAUAAUAAAGGAAGAAAAAGAAGACGACGAUAAUGGAGAUAGAGACUCUGUUGAUUACGAAGGAAAUGAAG